This 75-nucleotide small RNA is filed under the name Klebsiella quasipneumoniae. RNAcentral describes it as "partial RtT sRNA". It matches the Rfam family "RtT RNA", at positions 1 to 75 of the family's 130-position model. From Rfam's summary of the family: This family represents a bacterial cis-regulatory element known as RtT RNA. The exact function of RtT is unknown although it is thought that it may be involved in changing the cellular response in relation to amino acid starvation. RNAcentral also lists the same sequence under 1 other name. The record is from RNAcentral. Lineage: Bacteria; Pseudomonadati; Pseudomonadota; Gammaproteobacteria; Enterobacterales; Enterobacteriaceae.
UAUUCUGCCCUACGGGGAAGGAUGAGAAGCUUCGACUAAGGUUCGACUCGAGCGUAGCGAGAGAACGUUGCCGCA